This 233-nucleotide ribosomal RNA is filed under the name Clostridioides difficile. RNAcentral's name for it is "partial 23S ribosomal RNA". It matches the Rfam family "Bacterial large subunit ribosomal RNA", at positions 1562 to 1807 of the family's 2925-position model. Lineage: Bacteria; Bacillati; Bacillota; Clostridia; Peptostreptococcales; Peptostreptococcaceae. The record is from RNAcentral.
UGUGAUGGGGAGCGAAAUUUAGUAGCGAAGUAGCUGAUUUCACACUGUCAAGAAAAGUCUCUAUCGAGGUUAAAGGUACCCGUACCGCAAACCGACACAGGUGGGGGAGGAGAGUAUCCUAAGGCCAGCGAGAGAACUGUUGUUAAGGAACUCGGCAAAAUGACCCCGUAACUUAGGGAUAAGGGGUGCCACCAUCAGGUGGCCGCAGAGAAUAGGCCCAAGCGACUGUUUAC